AUGGAUAAUAAGGACUGACAUUCCAGAUUUGAAACUCAGUGUCUGGAAUCUGUAACAUUGCUUCAUAUCCAUGUAAAGCUUUGAGGAAUACUUGAGAAAAUAAAUAUUUUUUUAAGAGUUUUGAAAAUUGGAAGUAAAAGCAGAAGAGCUGACUCUGGAUGCUCGAAGGAUUGCAUUACAUUGCAGGUGAGAUCACGAGCUUUUCAAAGGGCAGUGACAGGUGUCGGCUCGUAUGAUGGUUCUUCCUCAUCGGCAUGUGCCCUGAUGUGGCUUGUUUUCUUUCUGUCUCUGUGUGUAUUUACCUCGUCUGUGUCCCUGUGUCUGUCCCUUCGCUAUUUUCCCACUAUCGUUUCUGUACCAGGGUGGCACAGCGUGCAGAACAGGGUGACAUUAGACUUGGGCUCUGAGGUCCCCUUCAUGAAGGUGGCACCUCAGACAACAUGUGGCUUUCCGUUCAGCCUCCUCAUUUCUGCAGGGAUAAUUCCCAGUGGUGGGUUUUGCUGUUGAAUUAAGAGACAAGGUAAGGAAAGCACCUAGCAUAGUGCCUAGCACAUGAGAACUAAUACAGGGUGGCUGCUAUUAUUCUGUCUCUUCUGCCUCUUUUUUUCCCCCGCAUAAAUUCAUGCUUCCUCUUGCUCUAAUUUUCCCGAAUAUAUAAGUGAAACCAGUACUUUUUAAAAUCUUAAAAUAAUAUAUAUUUAAAAGUAUAGGGGUGGAUAAAUACCAGUUAAAACUCCUCCAUCACAAGUGUCAGUCCCUUGGCAUAUAAAGUGAAGGGAGACUGCGCUAAACGUCUGUUAAGCAAAACAAUUAAGGGAAUCUUUUGGUUCAUGUAAUGAGCAGUCUAGAGGUAAACCUAGCUUUGUUGCUGUUCAGUUGCUAAGUCGUGUCACACUCUUUGCAACCCCAUGGACUGCAGCAUGCCAGGCUCCUCUAUCCUUCGCUGUCUCCCAGAUUUUGUUCAAAUUCACGUCUAUUGAGUCAGUGAUGUUAUCUUUCUCAUCCUCUGCCACCCCCUUCUCCUUUUGCCUUCAAUCUUUCCCAGGAUCAGGGUCUUUUCCA
RNAcentral lists this long non-coding RNA (1062 nucleotides) under Capra hircus (goat). RNAcentral describes it as "lncRNA (ENSCHIG00010028503.1)". The record is from RNAcentral. Lineage: Eukaryota; Metazoa; Chordata; Mammalia; Artiodactyla; Bovidae.